RNAcentral lists this long non-coding RNA (617 nucleotides) under Cercocebus atys (sooty mangabey). RNAcentral describes it as "lncRNA (ENSCATG00000045654.1)". The record is from RNAcentral. Lineage: Eukaryota; Metazoa; Chordata; Mammalia; Primates; Cercopithecidae.
UCAUUGAGGAUUGGAGAAGCAGAGCAGGAAAGUGGGACCGCAACAUCAAGGAGGCUCGUGAGAAGCUGGAGAUGGAGAUGGAGGCUGCACGCCAUGAGCACCAGGUCAUGCUAAUGAGACAGGGUGAGUCUAGGCCUGUAAGUUUUAAAGCUGAAAGGACAAAAUGACAUUUUUAAAUGGGUUUCUUUGUAUCAAUUAGCAGAAAGGCCUAAAUCUCUGCUUUUAUACUUUGAAAUAUUUUGCGUUGAUUUUGGUAGAUAAGUAGAUUUGGAGAUGUGGCAGAGAUACUGGAUUCUGUGAAGAAGGAAAUGAUAGGUUUGACUUCAUUUUGGAAUCUGGACACCACAGGUGGCUCCAAAGGAAUUAUAUCCUCUUUGCUUUCUGGAUCUUUAUUUGAAGAAAGUCAUUAGAUCUAUAUGAAGACAAUGAGGAAUAUUCUUAAGUCUGUUGUUUCUUUAGAUUUGAUGAGGCGCCAAGAAGAACUUCGGAGGAUGGAAGAGCUGCACAACCAAGAGGUGCAAAAACGAAAGCAACUGGAGCUCAGGCAGGAGGAAGAGCGCAGGCGCCGUGAAGAAGAGAUGCGGCGGCAGCAAGAAGAAAUGAUGCGGCGACAGCAG